This is a long non-coding RNA of Amphimedon queenslandica, 328 nucleotides long. RefSeq lists it as uncharacterized. The record is from RefSeq and is a predicted model, not a curated record. Lineage: Eukaryota; Metazoa; Porifera; Demospongiae; Haplosclerida; Niphatidae. The transcript has 2 exons.
UACGUUGGGUCUGGGCACUACCGUUUUUAUUUUCAUGAACAAUGCUCCAAGCAUUGCUCGACUUUUCUCUUUUCUGACAGUUUCUUCAGGAGUCAGGCUUUCUUAGAUACACUUACAAAACGACAAUGAGCCAUGGUUGAUGAUAAAACCAGACAGGACGACAAGAAGUAGUCACAAGAAAGAGUGCUCUGUCAAGCAAAGAAGCAGCUAUUAUAUUAUUAUCAUUUAUAAAAUAAAAUCAUUUAAUUAUAGACCUGCUAGUACCAAGAUCAAAAUGCAUGACGCUUGAAUCUUUUAUAAAAUAAAAAAUAUAUAAUAUAUAAUACAA